Molecule: long non-coding RNA, 510 nt
Organism: Tachyglossus aculeatus (Australian echidna)
Lineage: Eukaryota; Metazoa; Chordata; Mammalia; Monotremata; Tachyglossidae
Exons: 4
Source: RefSeq, a predicted model, not a curated record
UCUGUCUCCCCGGACAUUGUUUCCAGCAAAGCAGAGCCUUGGCACUAAAGAGACUUCGCCAACUUUGCAACUGCAGCGCCUUGGUUUCCUUGACCUUUUCAACCACAAAGUAGCAGAAGACUUUAUGAAAAGCUGGAUUUACAAAAGCUGUAUUAAGACUUGAAAGUUUUAAUAAUAGGCAUGUGAAAAGGAUUGGAGGCACUACAGGCCAAAAUGGAGAACCAGCAUUAUAAUAUGAAGAAAAAAGAAUAAAAGAGGCUUUACAAAUGUAAAGAUGGAUUGUAAUAUUCCACUCCAAUGACCUUACUAUGAAAGCUACUCUCAGUGGACAUCUUCACAUCCAAUUAAAAAAGGAUCCCAGAUCAAAUCUUAAACAGAAGAGUUUUAUGAAAACGUUCAGCUUCGCAUUCUAAAACGGUCUUACUACAUUUUCAACAAACUAAUCAGUUACUGACUACUUGAUUGCACCAUGUGUUUAUGUUGAUGGAGAACUUGAAGGGUAUUCAGAAU